Molecule: ribosomal RNA, 253 nt
Filed under: uncultured bacterium
Lineage: Bacteria
Description: partial 16S ribosomal RNA
Rfam family: Bacterial small subunit ribosomal RNA
Source: RNAcentral
UACGAAGGGGGCUAGCGUUGUUCGGAAUUACUGGGCGUAAAGCGCGCGUAGGCGGAUAAGUAAGUCAGGGGUGAAAUGCCGAGGCUCAACCUCGGAACUGCCUUUGAUACUGCUAAUCUGGAGUACGGGAGAGGUGAGUGGAAUUCCGAGUGUAGAGGUGAAAUUCGUAGAUAUUCGGAGGAACACCAGAAGCGAAGGCGGCUCACUGGCCCGAUACUGACGCUGAGGCGCGAAAGCGUGGGGAGCAAACAGG